Molecule: non-coding RNA, 325 nt
Organism: Biomphalaria pfeifferi
Lineage: Eukaryota; Metazoa; Mollusca; Gastropoda; Planorbidae
Source: the annotation of a GenBank genome assembly
AUCUGCAUUACUCUUGCACGAAUCUGAAACAAAUAAUUUUAGCAAUUAAAAAGGAUGGUGAAGGAAUGAAUCUUUAUAAUAUAUGAAAUACAACCAAUACAUAAAAAUGUGAGUUCAAUACAUUGGAAGUGGGUUACAAACAUUUCUAUUAGGUUACAAUAAUAUUGGACCAUAGAAACUUAAACUUAACAUCAUCUGCCCAAUAGAUCACAAGGUCUGAAAGGGGAACUUAACUACUUUAAAAAAAAAAACGUAUCUAUUUUAUUUUCAACAAAGAAAAAAGGAAAAGUAAAGAUAUACCGAUGAGGCUCCACUUGCACAUGUC